RNAcentral lists this long non-coding RNA (954 nucleotides) under Equus asinus (donkey). Its description in RNAcentral is "lncRNA (ENSEASG00005028221.1)". Lineage: Eukaryota; Metazoa; Chordata; Mammalia; Perissodactyla; Equidae. The record is from RNAcentral.
CUGAGGGGGGAGCACUUCCUCUGGAGCCUUCAGGAUUAUGUGCAAGAUAGGGGGCUCCCCCUCCCAUCCACAGUCUGGGAGGGAACAUGUGCUUCUGUCUAAACACCUCCUCACUGGCACCCACCCCCACCCCUGCCCCUGGUUCCCCUUCCCCCAGGGUGAGGAAAGGACGGGACACCUAGGGUUAUGACGUCUCAAUGGGAAAAAUGAGGCACAGAUGUGGCAAGUAAUCUCACAAGGUCAACAGUCUGCCUCCAGAGCCUACAUUCUUACACCCUGAGCACCUUAGUGCCUCACACACACAGCUGACGCCCAGGGAAAUGCAACACAGGGCGGCAACAGUGAACCCGGCAGACAAUGGAGUCCAGGCCACCAACACCUGAAGGCACAGCCCUGCACCCUCGAAGGUCUAAGCCUACAACUUAACAUUAGCAGGGACCAGGAAAUAAUGCUCUCCAAGCCUCACUUUCCAGCUCUAUCUAGCUUGCAUGACCUCAUGGGUAUCCAAACUCUGUCUCUGGGAAACGAAAGGAAAGAAUGCCCAGAGUCCCGGCCAACUGGUCGGCGCAGUUUUCCUUUAAGGCUGCCUUUGACGUUGCACGGGUUCCAGAAGGUUCUCUCGGGAUUCGAGCCGUGGCCAGUAAGUCCCACCUUCUCAAGCCGGACAUUGGACUAAUAUAGUUGCCCGCCCUCUUUCGGGUCUGAGCCCCAGAGACCAACCAAUAAGAUUAAAGGGCGCGUGGAGUUUCCGCCCCCUGUCCCCUUCACCAAUGACACGACGAGAUAGCGAAGAGGCGUGGUUGAUUGAUCCCAGAGCGCACCAAUCAGACCCGCACCCAUCACGGCCCGGAAUAUGUGCGCGUGUGGCCGGGUGACGGGGGCGGAGCGUGGGCGACUCUUACCGACCGCUCGUUGAGAGCUGUCCAAUGACAGCAGAGGCCGAGCUGAGUGACG